UACGUAGGCAGCAAGCGUUGUUCGGAGUUACUGGGCGUAAAGCGUGCGUAGGUGGUGAGUUAAGUCUGUCGUGAAAGCCCCGGGCUCAACCUGGGAAUGGCGAUGGAUACUGGCUCGCUAGAGUGCGGUAGAGGAGAGUGGAAUUCCCGGUGUAGCAGUGAAAUGCGUAGAGAUCGGGAGGAACAUCAGUUGCGAAGGCGGCUCUCUGGACCAGCACUGACACUGAGGCACGGAAAGCGUGGGGAGCAAACAGG
Molecule: ribosomal RNA, 254 nt
Filed under: uncultured bacterium
Lineage: Bacteria
Description: partial 16S ribosomal RNA
Rfam family: Bacterial small subunit ribosomal RNA
Source: RNAcentral